UCGGCGCCUCCGUGUGCUGCGGGCCGCCGUGCUUGUGCUCGUGGCGGAGCGGCGGCUUGGGCUGGGCUCGGCCGUCGGGCGGCGGCAGUACAAUGCAGUCGUGAUUUACCAGUGAGUAUUCAAGUGUUGGAAAUCUCAGAUCUCAGCAGCAGUUUAGUCAAGAUGGAUGACGGGGUGGGAGUGCUCCUUGCAGCCUCCUGCCUGACCACAGCCAUCCUCACGGAGCUGUCGCAACCACGGUCAGGGAGUGCAGUCGGAAAGGAAGAGACGGAACUGCAGCGCACAUGCCAGCUGGGAAUCGGUGACUCAGGAUAUUCAGUCAUAAAUGGUGUCCGUCGGUUUCCAGCUGAACGCAGGGAGCAGCAAUGAGGCUUGAGCUUGACGUAAGAGCAGGAUUCUACUCGAACCCGAGGAUUCCCACACUGGAUUUUACAACCUGCCUUCACAUAUGAGAUGUUGAAGCUUUCAAUGAGGUCACACCAGACACUGACAAGCACUGAUGGGUGAGUCAUGCUGCAGUAGCCAGAGAUACUAGCAACAGAUUUGUUAAUCUGUAUGCAGUCUAACCCUUUUUCUGGUCUAGGAUCUUAUUCAAGGGUGAAAUGCAAUGUCUCGGAGAUAGGUGACUGCAGAAUUGCUGAAGAGCAAGGCCACAUUUUCACAACUAUUUUACAGAUUAUAAUAAGAAUCAGUUCCUGGGAGCAUGUUUACAAUAAUGUAAAAUGUUGGUUUAGCUAUAAAAUCUAUAAAACAGGAGAUCAAGAUCCAGAUGGGGUCAACAAUGUUCAUUGCAGAUCACUGGAAAAGCCACCAUGCUAAUAUGGAAUCUAAGUUCCACCUGCUCUUGCUCCAGCAGUUCCAAUCAUCAUCUCCAGCAAACUGCUCUUCCAGAAGCUACAUCCCUGUACCAGGGAGAGCAGGUGUAAAUACACAUCCAUACACCAGCCAGUCUAGGACAAAGGCCAGUGCAGUCACAGCACUGUUAGGGUUGGGUCUGAGCUAAGACAUCCAGCCCUAACCCAGCAGGGUCAGGCAGAGAGCAAAUUCUCUUCUGCUGGCUCUGCUGUGGGGGGAAACCUGUGGAGAAGGAUUAGACCAGACCAUUUCCUGAUCUGCCACAAGAAAAUUCUCCAUGGAAGCUUUGGAAGUGUGGCAAGGACAGAGAAAACCAUGGAACAAGUGAGAUAUGGGGACUGAGUGCAUGACAGCAGAAAAAAGUUUCAUAAUCUUGGCUGAACUACUGAACAGUCAGAGAAAGAACCAACAAUAAAGGGAAGAGGCAAAGUAAAUCUAAAAGAAAUUCUGCAGACAGACAACAAAGAAACGAGAUGCUGUUGUAUUUUCAUUGCUGCAAAGCUAAAUUAAGUUUCCUAAGUCAAGCAGAGAAAUAAGUGUUUUAGACUUCUAUUCAGAAAACAGCAUGAGCAGCAAUUGCCAGUGGACAACUAACAAAAGGUGUCUUCUCUCAGAGAAAGAAAGCCACCAGGAGAUUGCAUAAUUGUAAUGAGUUUCCUCCCAGUUUCAGAUUAUUAGUCACCUUUCACCCUUCUCUGCCAAAGGCCUCUUCUUACCCAUCCAUCCAAGGACCAGAGCCAAGGCACAAGCCUUUCCUGUGCUACUUCUUUCCAUCAGCCAUUCUUCAAGGUCAAGGCCUCCACAAUACUGAUCACUGUGCCCAUUCCAGGCAUUCUGAACCAAUGCCAGAGUAAAACCCCCUUCAGCCCUGCUGUUGGGAAAAGAUUCGAGACACCUGAGUAGACCUUCCUUAUACUCAUUUGUCAUGGCCUGGAAAAGCAGUUAGUCCUGAAAUUGUGCAAAUAUUUAAAAGCAAAACCAUUGCAAAGAUUCAUCGAAGAGCCUUCACCAGCAGAAGACAUCCUACCUAGAGUCCCUUGGAAACCUGUUUGACUCAAGUGGAAAUGACCUACUGGCAUUUAUUUGUAAUUGCCCAGCAUGGCAGUGGCUGAGGAAGGAAAAGCUAUUAAGUCACACUGCAAGCCACUUUUCCACUUCUGUCUGGUUGCCCAGAGGGUAGAGUGGGACAGUCAGAAGGCUGAGAUUUUGUUUAUGUCUCUGAAACUGAUUAUCCAUAUGACCUUGCAUGUACUUCUUGUGCCACCGUUUUCCCACUUCUUAAUACCUAAAACCACUCGACUCACGGGUCAGUCAGAAGUGCCCAGCAAGGAGCAUGUUUGUUCCUCUAAUAAAAGGUAAGAGAAGAGCGAAGUGUUAUUAUUGUUGUCAUACAACACAAAAGCAGUUACGUAAUAACAUCAGCAUUGCUUCAUUUUUGUCAUUACAACACAAACUGUCAGAGGGACACUGCCUGACAUGGUAUCUUCAUCCCAGUGGAUGUACCCAAGUGUUUACUUCAUUGAUACAAAACCAGAUUACAACAAUCUGGAAGACUCUACCUCGUUUAUUUUGACCAUCUAGAACAUGUUUUUCCUGUAUAACCUCAUAACCCAUAAUAAUGGCCCAAACUGCACUACAGGAAUGAUGGCAGGUUUCAUGAGCUAGUAAAAGGAGAACAAUUCCUCACUUGUGCAUUGCACAACUGCUCACACACUAAAGCACACAAGUGCUUCUCUUCUUUGUAAGCAGACAACAACCUGAAAGUUAGUUUCUAAACCUGCAAAUCAUACACACACAGAAUACUUUUUAAAAAAUCUCAGUACCAAGAAAGAAUUAAAGAACUUCCUAAUUUGGCUAAAUUACAUUCUGCUUGUCUGAUGACAAAUUUCCUAAAAAAAAGCAUUGACAAAUGCUGUGUUCAUAACUGCUCUAUAAUUAAUAAACAAAUUUCUUUGCUUGAAGUUCUGUGACUUAUUCUAAAAUUUAAAAUCCUUUGCUUAAAAAUGGUCAGAUUCAAGCAGCAUGUGGACUGAAGGCUGAGGAAGGCAUGGCUGUGAUUACCACAGCUGAAACCGUGCCCUAAUCACACUCUUAUCUUUCUUAUCUACUGCAAGUAUUUAUAAAGCAAUGAUUACUGUACUAGGCCACAUCACUGCUCUGAGUUUGUUCUGAACCAGCACCUUCGUGUUGCUGUAAGAAGUUUACACUGCUAGAGCUGGUGUCAUUUUGCUGAGACAGAAAGCCAAGCUUCUCAUCACUUAAAGUCAUUAAAAAAAAAUAAACUAUGACACCUCUAAAGGAGUAGGGGUGUUAACCCCAAUGUCCUGGCCGAACUCCCAGCUCGAGUAAUUACAACGUGCCUUGAAUAAAUUCUUGCCACAGUUUCCUUUGGACACAGUAUUGUUCUCUACUUCCUCUCCUACAAUAUUAUGGAGUGCUGAUGCAUGCUCUUAAAGGUCCUGUCCGUGCUGGAAUGUCCUACAGGUCUACCCCAGGACCAGCUCUGCAGCAGCACACUGGGAACAAUGUGUUGAAACCAGUUCUGCCUGUCAGCUGAACCGCUAGGCAAUUUGUAAUAUUUAUUUAUUGAUGUUCUGGCACGUCCUCCAGAUGGAAUUAACUUUGAGUAUGGCUAACUGAUAGAUAGACUGGUGCAAAUCCCAGAUACAGACAUACUCUUUUAUGUAAUAAAGUUCUUUAAAUGGACUAAAUUUGCAUCAGGAAAUCAGCAAAUGAAGCUAAACUAACUUUCUAGGUGCCUGCUAUGGUCAUCUGAGAAGGCAGCAAGAACAUGCCUCAUGCACAAGACUAGGAAAGCUAAAUGUGCUGUUUAGUUUAGCUGACAACAAUCAAGGUAGUUUUCACACUGGCUGUUCCUUCAGAAUUUCAGUGGACUUUUUCUAAACCGUCUGUUACAGACAAUGCUGUAUGUUUCUGAAGCAGUCACUGAAUUCGUACCAAAUACAGAUCUAGUAUUUUAAGUAAAAUACUUGACUGUUAAUGCAAAAGCAUUAUUCACAUUUUUCUGCAGCCACUGUUAGACUCUAAGGAUUUUUACCUAGUGCUCUCAUUAUCUUUUUAUGUGUGUAGCACAAAGAGCUGAGGCCCAGACUCUCUGCUGGCAUUUGCCGGGUUAGCUCCACAGACCUUGCUAACUCUCAUAAUUCAUGAGCUUUAAAGGCAAUUUGUCUGCAGGAAGAAGUACAAGAUCAAGAUUCAGAAGAAUCCAAUUUUCAAUUCUACCUUAUGACCCCGUGGGCGGAUCACUCCCUCAGUGCUCCAUUUUGUUCUCCCAUCUCCAAAAGCAAAUGAUACCCACUAAUUUGACAAAACAAGUACAAAAUCAAAUUUAUACUGACAGGCCAUGCUGAGCGGUUUUGCCUUAAACACCAUUGUUCUAACAUUUGAAAAUACAAAUAUUUACCUUCCAAACAUGUCCCUAAUUUCCCCAGAAGCAUGUCUCCAAACCCAUUUUAUUUUAGAAGACAGAAACCGUAUUUUCAGAAAGUGAAUGGUUUUAUUUUUCUGUCAUUACAAAAAUGCCUUUUAACUUGUCAAAUGAUACACUGCAAAUAUCUUUGGCAGAUGAAUGAAUCCAAGUUUCCUGUCAUAGCUGCCAACUUCGAGGUUGAGAUAAUCAGAUAAACCUUUAGUUUGCUUCUCCCCAUACCUAAACUACAUGUGUUUGAAGUGAUCCACAUCUGUCUUACUUUUCCUAUUGGGAUUUGAAAAGGCAAAGUGUCAGACCACUAUGUGCCAAGUUCACAAAACUCUAGGUGUGGUCCACAGUUGUUUCAGCCAAUCUCUGGUCUCAACUUUCCCCCAUCCCAGGUUGAAUAGUCCCCAGUAGCUCUGCUUGUCUAAAGGUAAAUGCCAAGUUUACAUACAUAGUAUCCAGCAUCACCCUCAAACGCCUGCUGGAUACAAAGCCUUAUGAUACAAAAUACCUAUUAGAUUAUGGGAAAAUAGGAAGGAAGUUUGUUUCGCUUGUUUUAUUUCAGCAGGAGCAGUAAUACUGGAUUUACGGAAUUGGAUUAUUUCAUACUGGGGACACUUCAAACCUGAAUAUUUGCAGGGUACUUUAUAACCGAGUGCACUGUCCCUUCAGUUUAAGUCUGAAUUCAAAAGUGGAAGCCAUCCCUACAAACACACCUUUGACAAAGUUUGUGUCUUAUGUAACUAUAUCUAUUCAUUUAUUAUCAGGAUGUCAGUACGAAUUGUUAUUUUGAUGAUUCCUUGCCCCCAUACUUCUGAAAGGGAAAGCAACUGUAAACACAAGGGAGACUGACCUCAGUGAUUUCCUCUGUUCAGACAGGAGCACAAUGCGCUCAAACACCAAGACAAGGAGAAGUGGACUGUUUAGAAUUCCUCCAGCUGUAAUCUAUAGUAAAAACAAAUAAACAAAUACGUGACUACAA
This is a long non-coding RNA of Pseudopipra pipra, 5273 nucleotides long. RefSeq lists it as uncharacterized. NCBI's taxonomy places the organism in Eukaryota, Metazoa, Chordata, Aves, Passeriformes, Pipridae. The transcript has 4 exons. The record is from RefSeq and is a predicted model, not a curated record.